This 498-nucleotide ribosomal RNA is filed under the name uncultured bacterium. RNAcentral describes it as "bacterial SSU rRNA". It matches the Rfam family "Bacterial small subunit ribosomal RNA", at positions 28 to 514 of the family's 1533-position model. The record is from RNAcentral.
GAUGAACGCUAGCUACAGGCUUAACACAUGCAAGUCGAGGGGCAGCAUGAACUUAGCUUGCUAAGUUUGAUGGCGACCGGCGCACGGGUGAGUAACACGUAUCCAACCUUCCGUUUACUCAGGGAUAGCCUUUCGAAAGAAAGAUUAAUACCUGAUAGUAUGGUGAGAUUGCAUGAUAGCACCAUUAAAGAUUUAUUGGUAAACGAUGGGGAUGCGUUCCAUUAGGUAGUAGGCGGGGUAACGGCCCACCUAGCCGACGAUGGAUAGGGGUUCUGAGAGGAAGGUCCCCCCACAUUGGAACUGAGACACGGUCCAAACUCCUACGGGAGGCAGCAGUGAGGAAUAUUGGUCAAUGGACGAGAGUCUGAACCAGCCAAGUAGCGUGCAGGAUGACUGCCCUAUGGGUUGUAAACUUCUUUUAUAUGGGAAUAAAGUGGUCCACGUGUGGAUUUUUGUAUGUACCAUAUGAAUAAGGAUCGGCUAACUCCGUGCCAGCAG